Molecule: long non-coding RNA, 2197 nt
Filed under: Lupinus angustifolius (narrow-leaved blue lupine)
Lineage: Eukaryota; Viridiplantae; Streptophyta; Magnoliopsida; Fabales; Fabaceae
Description: long non-coding RNA (LANG_LNC001906)
Source: RNAcentral
UUCUUUAUAUUUCUUAUUAGGAUGUUACAUAUUCAGAUAUUCUAAACACUUUGGUUGCAUAUAUUUUAAAACUUUUGGUUCCUUCUUUUGAAAUACACAUAAACAUAAAUAAGGGCAUACAUCAUAAAUUAAUUGACAAGAGUUGUUCUAGCAUAAUAAGGAUUCUCAAGUUCAAAUCUUUUGAAAUGUCAAGCACAAUGAUUUAAAUUGCAAAUUGCAUCACGUGAUGCAGCCGCAAACUAUUUUUUUAGUUUUUCAAUGCAAGUUUAUAUCUUGAUUCUUUAACAAUUGUCCUACCUACUAUGUACACACACAAAAUUUACACUCACUUUAUUAUAUAUUUUGGUUCAAGCCAUUGAACAGAACUGAUAUAAAUGUAACCUUUUCUUUUCUAAUGAUUCAGAUAAUGUACCUAACUUACUCAAAAACUUGAGUACACUGAGUGUGUCAUCAACAAUGCCUGAUAUGGAAGAAGAAGAACAUGAUGAAGGAAUAGUUGAAAGAGAGAACAAAGGGAAACAAAACAUGUUGAUUGAAAAAGAUGAAGAACAUAGCAAAUGGACACAUAUACCUAGUGAUAUUCUGGAAAUGAUAAUGAAGCGUUUGAAACUUAUAGAUUUCUUUGGAACUAGUGCAGUGUGUUCAUCUUGGAAGGCUACCUUUACUAAAGCCAUUGCAAACAAGCAUAUCAAACCAUUACCUGAAUUGCCUCUUGUAAUCCUGCAAUCGACUAAGAUUCCUACAUCAGCAAGCAGUGUUUUGAGCAUCAAAUCAGAAGAAGUAUGUUCUUUCAUAAACAAAAACACAAUGUUACCUGAAAGUCACCAUAUAUGUCAUGGCACAGUUGAAGGAUGGAUGAUUUUGAGUAUUUCUCUUUUUGUUGAUAUUACCAACAUCAUCUUUUUCUUGAAUCCAGUUACCGGUGAUGUAGUAAUUGCUCCUUCACCUUUGAAAUUUCCAUCAAACUCUCCUAUUCCAAGAAGAUCAAAUUUGAAUAUGGGAAGAAUGGUGGCAUCUUCUAGUCCUAAAUGUGAAGAUUGUGUUGUAGUUGGUCUCUUUAUUGAUUAUGUCCACAUUGCAUAUUGUAGAGUUAAUCAUGACAAAUCAUGGACUAUGAUUGAAGCAAAGAAAGAGGAUGCAUGGAAUUUUCUGGAUAUGGAAAUUUUCAAUGGUAAAUUGUAUGUUAGAACUAACAUGGCAAGCAGUUCUAUGUUAGUUUAUGAUCUGCAAGAUUCGACUAAUAAUCCUCCAAAGCCUAUAGUAUUAGGUGAGAUUCCACCAAUAAGGCCAUUACCAGAAUCAAGGACACAUGAAAAUCAAAUUCAUGUUAAGGGUAAUGUCAUUCGAUUUCUAACAACAGGUUAUGCAGCAGAAGAGUUAUUGCUCAUAUACUUGUUUAACAAUUAUGUUUUUGAAAAUGAUAAUGUUGCCUAUAUGAAUGUUGUCAAGCAAUAUGCAAGUCCCCCUCAAGUUACCAAAUGUGAAGUGUUCAAGUUAGACACAAGAAGUAAUAAGUGGGUGAAGCUUGAUCACUUGGGUGACAGAGUGAUAUUUCUUGGAUAUGAUAAGUCCUACGUAAUGUCAAGAACAUUACUUAAUUGCAGUGAAGAGUUAAUUGCAGAGAAUAGUGUCUAUUUUGCUCUUUACUUUCCAUGUCCAGAACCAUGGUCGAAAGCUCAAUUGGGGAGGCUUUGUUUGACUGAUAACAAGAUCAAGUACUUUUCUUUGGAGGAAUUUGGAGUUGAACUAUAUGCUUACCCUUCCUGGUUCUUACCAAGUGCUUGGUAGUUCGUUAUUUUGCUGCUUACAUUUGCUUUAGGUUUCACCAUUGUCAUCUAUGAAUUGAUUGAUAUUUUUUUUGUAUCAUACAUUUUCAUGAAUCCUCCAUGCUAAAAGUGGUGUAAUAAUGUAGAAAAAGAAUCACAUAAUUUGGAAUUAAAGUCGUUGCUGAUCGCUGUUUUGAUGCAAAAUAUAUGGUACGAUAUGCCGUGCAAGGAAGUUAAUCCAGAAAAAGAGCAUUAAAUUGUAAAGCUAACAAAACAAGAAAAGACUUAUCUGAACUCUUCCUUCAACAACCAUUCUUUUUCAAGCUCUUCCUCCAGUUUUCUCUGCAGAAGAUCCAGUUCUGCAUCAGUAGUAGUCUCACAUCUAGCUUCCUCUGUUUUUUGCUUGCAUGCAUCAAUUUUUUCCUGAUAAU